Molecule: ribosomal RNA, 253 nt
Filed under: uncultured bacterium
Lineage: Bacteria
Description: partial 16S ribosomal RNA
Rfam family: Bacterial small subunit ribosomal RNA
Source: RNAcentral
UACGAAGGGGGCUAGCGUUGCUCGGAAUUACUGGGCGUAAAGCGCACGUAGGCGGCUCUUUAAGUCGGAGGUGAAAUCCUGGAGCUCAACUCCAGAACUACCUUCGAUACUGUAGAGCUUGAGUUCGGGAGAGGUGAGUGGAACUGCGAGUGUAGAGGUGAAAUUCGUAGAUAUUCGCAAGAACACCAGUGGCGAAGGCGGCUCACUGGCCCGAUACUGACGCUGAGGUGCGAAAGCGUGGGGAGCAAACAGG